Lutzomyia longipalpis is the source of this 1791-nucleotide long non-coding RNA. RefSeq lists it as uncharacterized. The record is from RefSeq and is a predicted model, not a curated record. The transcript is spliced from 3 exons. Lineage: Eukaryota; Metazoa; Arthropoda; Insecta; Diptera; Psychodidae.
UUGGCAUUCACUGUGCAAACUACAUUCUGCUCAACGUCUCUCGAUAUCGUGAAUUUGUGUUGCUAACUAUAAAAUCCGAACAUUUAGGUUUUAUUUUUAAAACGGCUUAUACUCCCGAAUAUAUCUGAAUUUUAUGCCCAACCUCCCUCAUUAACAACGAAAUUAAUUCAUUGUGAAAUCAACUUUGGUCGCUGUAGUAAUCCUUUCAGAAAAAAGAGAAGAUUAAGACAAGCAGCGUGAGAUAUCGGAUUUUCUUUUGAGGUGUCACAGAGGGCAUCUUAAAACCCACACAAGAGCAACGCAUGCAUCUACUAAAUUCUUGAUUUAAUUGUUUGGUUCCUCCAGUAAAUGUGAUCUUCUGUAUAUAUACCCAAACAUAAUGACCAUCGUACAAUUAAAGUGACAAUUAGUGGUGGUCAUGUUGGGAAAACAACGCCAUAUCCGAAGUGAAGAUGCUGAUUAGUUGACACCAUUUGGCCGUAAAGUUAAACAAAAUAAAAUGCGUGGUUUAUUGAAUUGUGGCUGCCACUAUCUCACAUGGUCGAUCAGAGGCACAGAGAUUCCUCUGGUGAGUGUCUUCUUCUCCUGAACGCAACAUGACCGCAGUGAGGCGAUUUGUCUGCAUUUGCGUGGCGCAGUGGUUUACAUUUGAAGCUGUUGUGGCUUUGAACGAUGAAGACACACACGGUAUGCUCCAAAAAACAUUUCAAACUAUAUGGUGUGUGGAAAAUGCACUCCUCUGCGUGAAAGACAGAAGUUUACAAGAUUUGGAACUCUCGCCAUCACCUACACUGGUGGAUUGUAUUUCACGAAAAACUUCAUUAAACUGCACACAAAAUUCAUGGUGUGUUUGUAGGGGGUAUGGGUAUGGAGGGAGCGCGAGAUCUCUGACAUCUAUCCCAAAAACAAUCUUCCCUCGUACUCAAUGUUCUGCAUAAUAUACAAUACAACACACCAAAUGAGUAAUUUCGUGCACUGAGAAGACGCGGGUGUAGUAAAAACACUAAUUAAAUUUUCCACUGGGAAAUAGUGUUUGUUUUUUACACAAAUACCCCGCCAUGAGUCAAGAUGUUGGAGAUUUAUUGCCACACCAGCACUAUUUGGAAAUCAACAAGUUUACAAAUUUUAUUCAACUAUUUUCCUUCAUGAAGAAUCUUCAGAAUGAUCACCUCAAUGAUCGAUCUGUGUCAUCCAAAGAAGCCAUUGAGUGUGGAAGAGAAAUAAUUCCUGGUAGAUCUCAUGUGAGUAUAAACGGCACCAUAAGAAGCCACCAGAAGUUUUUCAACACCAAACAGCCCUAAAAUGGUGAUCACCAAAAAAAUAAAUAAAACAACGUGGAUAUGGCCAACAUAUUGAAUCUCAAUAUUUGGAGAUGGUUUCUCCCUGAGAGAUGGUACACCAUGUUCCUUUGCCAGAGAUCUUUCCAAUACGGCAUAACAUCUCCCGAAAGAAAAAAAUACUUAUGAUUCUGUCUUGAACAUAAAAGUAAAUUGUUUGAUGAAGAAGUCAAAUAUUGUCUCCAUUUCGGUAUAUUUUCGAUUUAAUAUUUGCACUCAACCGUGCUUUUGAACUCUAUAUACUUGAACACAGAAUACACGUUUUGUGAGUAAUUCUACAAAAAGAACAAGAUGUUCUUGGAAGAUAAAUUCAAUAAUGUUAAGAAGCUGCUGUGAAAAUUUCAAACAUUAUAAAAAAACAUUUAAAUUAAAAUUUGUAAGAGGAAAGGAAAGGGAUAUUUUGUGAAAUUGAUAUUUUAAGAAAAGAUCAUUUAGAUUAAAGAAAAAUCAAAAA